This is a long non-coding RNA of Sycon ciliatum, 1089 nucleotides long. RefSeq lists it as uncharacterized. Lineage: Eukaryota; Metazoa; Porifera; Calcarea; Leucosolenida; Sycettidae. The transcript is spliced from 4 exons. The record is from RefSeq and is a predicted model, not a curated record.
AGAAGAUUUUCACCUGCUUCGGAGUAGCACCGCCAAGAAAAUAGCUACCGACGACGAACCUCCCGAGUAUCACUUUCGUCUUGCAAGUGCUCGUUGAGGACGUUUGUCCUUCAUUUCGCUCUCAUCCGUCUUGCUAGACUCGCAGCCUUACGGUAAGUUGUAACAGCAGUUACUGUUCUAGCAUUCGUCGUCUGUUUUGAUUGUGUCCAUGGUGUUCAGCCUUUCGCAACUAAGUUUCUUGCGUGACACACCUGCGACGACACGUAUUGCAUCUUCGGACCCAGAGUACUUCGUCAGAGUCGGCUUGGCUCCGUGUUUUCCUCCGAUGUCGACCGCUGCACCGCGGAACAAGGACCUUGCCGAUUGUCUGGAGCCCCCAGCUCUGGCAAUGUGGACUGCGGAGCCUCUCACAGCACCAGGCAUCCACAUGUCCUGGCCCUUUCAUGCCGCAGUUUCUCAGUGGUAUUCACGUGACACAGUGACAGAGAGGGCAAUGGCAGGUGACUGAGCACAACCAAGAAUGAUUGUUAGCCGGCCCUGUAGGCUGUAGCCCAAGGCAGUGACAGGGUGUCUCCGGCAGCAUGAAAGCGUGAACGGAGAGGGGAAAGUGUACGUAACGUUAUUUCGCAACGAGAUGUAUUUUUCGGAUGUAUUCAACGUGUAACUGAAUCAUGGUGGUUUUGGCAAGGCUUCAUUCGUAUAUACAUGUAUGUGAUGUGCAGUAUCCAGUACUACGCUAGAUAUUCACAAGUAGCAUUGCUGGAAUUCUUUCGUUCUCAAGUUGAUAUAGGGGCGCAGCAAAAUUCAUAGAAUUAUCAGGAGACGUUCUUUCUUCCGAAUGUAAAAUAGGGAACAUUGCAAGUUGUUAAAAAGAACCUCUCUUCAUUUUUCUCUUUUUGUUUGUUUUCUUAAUAGUUUCUCAAUGCAUGCAUAACUUGGUGUUUCCUUGUUUUCCAUUUCUAUUUAAUUUUUGUUCUUUCUGCCACCUUUCUUGCCAUAAUAUAAUAUUCUCUCCCACGUCAUCGUGACAACUUCCUUGAAGUGACGUCAUCAGCAUUAUGAUGCCAAUAAAAAUAAUGUACACAUGAA